Molecule: transfer RNA, 74 nt
Filed under: Caudoviricetes sp.
Lineage: Duplodnaviria; Heunggongvirae; Uroviricota; Caudoviricetes
Description: tRNA-Met
Rfam family: tRNA
About the family: Transfer RNA (tRNA) molecules are approximately 80 nucleotides in length. Their secondary structure includes four short double-helical elements and three loops (D, anti-codon, and T loops).
Source: RNAcentral
GGACAUUUAUCUCAGCAGGUCAGAGAACCCGGCUCAUAACCGGGCGGUCCUGGGUUCGAACCCCAGAAUGUCCA